AACAGCCGCGGUAAUUCCAGCUCCAAUAGCGUAUAUUAAAGUUGUUGCAGUUAAAAAGCUCGUAGUUGAAUUUCGGGAUUGACACAUCGGUCGUGCCUUAAGGGGUAUGAACUGGUGUAGUCAAUUUCUCACCUUCUGGAGAACCGCGAUGCCCUUAAUUGGGUGUCACGGGGAACCAGGACCUUUACUUUGAAAAAUUAGAGUAGUUUAAAGCAGGCAUUUUGCUUGAAUACAUUAGCAUGGAAUAAUAAAAUAGGACGGCAUGAUUCUAUUUUGUUGGUUUCUAGGAUCACCGUAAUGAUUAAUAGGGAUAGUUGGGGGCAUUAGUAUUCAAUUGUCAGAGGUGAAAUUCUUGGAUUUAUUGAAGACUAACUACUGCGAAAGCAUUUGCCAAGGAUGUUUUCAUUAAUCAAGAACGAAAGUUAGGG
RNAcentral lists this ribosomal RNA (428 nucleotides) under uncultured Glomeromycotina. Its description in RNAcentral is "SSU rRNA". It matches the Rfam family "Eukaryotic small subunit ribosomal RNA", at positions 569 to 995 of the family's 1831-position model. Lineage: Eukaryota; Fungi; Glomeromycota. The record is from RNAcentral.